Molecule: long non-coding RNA, 1181 nt
Organism: Zingiber officinale
Lineage: Eukaryota; Viridiplantae; Streptophyta; Magnoliopsida; Zingiberales; Zingiberaceae
Exons: 4
Source: RefSeq, a predicted model, not a curated record
AGGUUGAUGCUGUCAGGAGGGAGUUCCAGUCGCUAGUCCCCACUGCACGAGACCAUAAAGAAGCAAGUUGCAGCCAUGUAUAUAUGGCCUAAAACACUAGGAAGUCCCGAUAAUGGAUCCCGCGAAAGCUAUGAAGAAGCCUGUUGGCAUUCUGGAAGUGAAUGUUGUCCAGGCAAUGAAAUUGAAGAAGAAAGAUCUUUUGGGCAAGUCGGAUCCAUAUGUAAAGCUAACUUUUCAAGAUGAUAAUCUGCCAGCAAAGAAGACCACUGUGAAACGUAGCAAUCUUAAUCCUGAGUAGAAUGAGGAAUUCCAGUUGGUUAUCAAGGAUCCAGAAACUCAAGUUCUUGAACUACGUGUCUUUGAUUGGGAGCAGCAAUUUGGGAGUAAAAGCAGGGAGAAAGGCAGAAAGCAUAGACUAGUGACCUGCGAUAGUGUAUGGGCAUGACUCCGGCCUUCCAAAUGGCUGGGAGCGUUGCAGAUCCCACCGGCAUCGGUCCCUUAUCCCGAUCUGCGUGCCGGUCUCUUGUCCCGGCAUGUGUGCCGACUUUAAGUCUGCUUGUGUGCUGAUUUCGUGUCCCGGCCUACGUGCCGCUAAGCACCUCUCGGCCUGUGCGCCGAUCUGAUGUCCCGGCCUGCGUACUGACAUCUUAUCCCGGUCUGCGUGCCGGUGCCUUAUCUCGGUCUGCGUGCUGGUAUUAUAUCCUGACCUACAGCUCGUCCUCCGUAUCCGUGCUUCGUUCAGCUCCUCGUCGUCAGAUCCAGCUCUCCAUCCUGAUCGGGCGUCGUCUACUCUUCCGGGUCGCGAUAACUCAAUCCGCGUCCCAUCCGAGGGCGCCCCCCGGGCUAGGGUAUGUUUUUCGUUCAUAUUCCAUACGCAUUUCAUUAUUUUAUGACUUAGUUUUGUACUCAUAUAUUCGUUGGAUCUGCCUCGAGCAUCGGGGUACCGGGGGCUGGGUCAACCCGGUUGCUGGCUGCAGGACGUCACGAUUCGGUCAACAUCUCAUCCAUCUCACCCGACGGUCCGUCUAACUCAGCUUCCGGACCGAAUCAUUUUCCAUUAAUUUUUUUAUAACUCACUCUACAAUUAUGUUGAUUAUCUUUGACUGUGUGAUUGAAAAGCACCAUAAAUACUAUAACCUAUCUUCUCAACGCUUGAAAAAAAAAGAAGUUUUAAUUUUUUA